GUGCUAGCUUUGGCAGCACAUAUACUAAAACUGAAACAAUACAGAGAAGAUUAGCAUGGCCCCUGUGCAAGGAUGACAUGCAAAUUCGUGAAGCGUUCCAUAUUUUU
This is a small nuclear RNA of Homo sapiens (human), 107 nucleotides long. The record is from Ensembl. Lineage: Eukaryota; Metazoa; Chordata; Mammalia; Primates; Hominidae.